GACGAACCGUGCUAACGUUGUUCGGAAUCACUGGGCUUAAAGGGCGCGUAGGCGGGCCGGCGAGUCAGGGGUGAAAGCCCGCGGCUCAACCGCGGAAGCGCCUUUGAUACUGCCGGCCUCGAGGGGGGUAGGGGCGUGCGGAACUUCCGGUGGAGCGGUGAAAUGCGUAGAUAUCGGAAGGAACACCGGUGGCGAAAGCGGCGCGCUGGACCCCUUCUGACGCUGAGGCGCGAAAGCCAGGGGAG
This 245-nucleotide ribosomal RNA is filed under the name uncultured bacterium. RNAcentral describes it as "partial 16S ribosomal RNA". It matches the Rfam family "Bacterial small subunit ribosomal RNA", at positions 524 to 768 of the family's 1533-position model. The record is from RNAcentral.